UACGUAGGGGCCGAGCGUUGUCCGGAGUUACUGGGCGUAAAGCGCGCGCAGGCGGCUCGCUUUGCCCGGCGUGAAAGCCCCCGGCUCAACCGGGGAGGGUCGUCGGGGACGGGCGAGCUUGAGGCCGGCAGGGGCAGGUGGAAUUCCCGGUGUAGUGGUGAAAUGCGCAGAUAUCAGGAGGAACACCGGUGGCGAAGGCGGGUCUCUGGGCCGUAACUGACGCUGAGGAGCGAAAGCGUGGGGAGCGAACAGG
This 253-nucleotide ribosomal RNA is filed under the name uncultured bacterium. RNAcentral describes it as "partial 16S ribosomal RNA". It matches the Rfam family "Bacterial small subunit ribosomal RNA", at positions 524 to 776 of the family's 1533-position model. The record is from RNAcentral.